This 1073-nucleotide long non-coding RNA is filed under the name Olea europaea subsp. europaea. Lineage: Eukaryota; Viridiplantae; Streptophyta; Magnoliopsida; Lamiales; Oleaceae. The record is from RNAcentral.
CUUUUUCACAUGGGAACAAUUUUAUUACUCAAUACCAAAUCUAGAACUCCCAAAAAUACAAAGAGAGUAGAAAAUUCCAAAAACUCAUCUAAAAUAAAUUUAAAACCAGUUUUCUGUGUGCAUUCUAAGGACUUCUAGAACUUAAUUAAUUUGCGCAACUCUGGUACUGGUAAAUUGAAUUCAUAAACUGAUUUCGAUAAGCUAUCAAAUGUUGGGCAAGGAUAGUGGCAAUGAUAUAUAUAUUCACGCUAGGCAUCUGUUGUGGCUCGAUAUCUUCUGAUUCAACUACCUCUGGAUCAUUCAAGUUCUGGUUCUGAUUUGUAAAUUUUUGAACUGCGUUUUCUGCUUCUACCUGCCAUUCACCUGCUAAAGAUAACAAUUAAGCAAAAUUUGUCAGGAAAACCACGAGCAACGAAAAUGUAGAUAUCAACAUUUUACUAUUCCUUCCACAUUAUUGGGAUAACAUUUGAAUGUGACUUAUGCACAAGCCUGUGUCACAUCGUAAGUUAAGUCUGGCUGUGAAGGGAGAGAGAUUUAAACGAACAUAUUUGAAUGACUUAUGUCUAGUAAUGCUUUUUGUAUAUUAUAAGCCGUGGUAUUGAUUAAAAAGGGUUUAAAAGGUAAUAUGUUUUGUGUACAUAAAGUAUUUGCUGAAAUAUGAGGGAUGGAAGUGAAUUUAAAGUAACAGAGCUGAAUAUAUUAAUUUUGGUUGCAGAGUCUGUCAUCUUCAAUUAAUAAUCAAUUAAAAAGAAGAUAGAAAAAUGUGUUUGAUUGUCAUAAUUAUAAUUUCUUGUGCCAAUAUUAAUCACAUAAAUUUCUGAGAUCAUCAGAGUACAUCAGAAUCGUGUUUGUUAAGAAUAUACAUUUGAUUAGUUGACGAACAAUCUAUUUUUGCAAGGAAAUCCCCUGCUACUGGUAUUGCAAAGAAUUCCCAUAUUAAUUUUUGCGCCAGAUGAAAUUCACUGAGAGAGGAGAGACAUGAUCUCUUUGCUGUCUCGAGUAGUAGUGGAUCCAUAUAUGAAUAAAGUUAUGGCAGUAAAGCAAAAUAACAGCAGCAACCCCCCAUCUCAACC